AUUGAACGCUGGCGGCAUGCCUUACACAUGCAAGUCGAACGGCAGCACGGACUUCGGUCUGGUGGCGAGUGGCGAACGGGUGAGUAAUGUAUCGGAACGUACCUUUCAGUGGGGGAUAACGUAGCGAAAGUUACGCUAAUACCGCAUAUUCUGUGAGCAGGAAAGCAGGGGAUCGAAAGACCUUGCGCUGAUUGAGCGGCCGAUAUCAGAUUAGCUAGUUGGUGGGGUAAAGGCCUACCAAGGCGACGAUCUGUAGCGGGUCUGAGAGGAUGAUCCGCCACACUGGAACUGAGACACGGUCCAGACUCCUACGGGAGGCAGCAGUGGGGAAUUUUGGACAAUGGGGGCAACCCUGAUCCAGCCAUGCCGCGUGAGUGAAGAAGGCCUUCGGGUUGUAAAGCUCUUUCGGCCGGGAAGAAAUCGCAUAGGCUAAUACCCUGUGUGGAUGACGGCACCGGAAUAAGAAGCACCGGCUAACUACGUG
RNAcentral lists this ribosomal RNA (484 nucleotides) under uncultured bacterium. Its description in RNAcentral is "partial 16S ribosomal RNA". It matches the Rfam family "Bacterial small subunit ribosomal RNA", at positions 30 to 507 of the family's 1533-position model. The record is from RNAcentral.